CGCGGCCUAUCAGCUUGUUGGUGAGGUAACGGCUCACCAAGGCAACGACGGGUAGCUGUUCUGAGAGGAAGAUCAGCAACACUGGAACUGAGACACGGUCCAGACACCUACGGGUGGCAGCAGUCGAGAAUCAUUCACAAUGGGGGCAACCCUGAUGGUGCAACGCCGCGUGGAGGAUGAAGGCCCUAGGGUCGUAAACUCCUGUCAUAUGAGAGUAAGGCAUAGAGGGAAUAAUACCCUUUUAUGUUUGAUAGUAUCAUAAGAGGAAGGGACGGCUAACUUCGUGCCAGCAGCCGCGGUAAUACGAAGGUCCCGAGCGUUAUUCGGAAUCACUGGGCGUAAAGAGUACGUAGGCGGUUUGGUAAGUCAGGUGUGAAAUCCCGGGGCUCAACCCCGGAACUGCACCCGAUACUGCCAGACUGGAGUAAUGGAGAGGCAGGUGGAAUUCUCGGUGUAGCAGUGAAAUGCGUGGAUAUCGAGAGGAGGACCAAUGGCGAAGGCAGCCUGCUGGACAUUUACUGACGCUGAGGUACGAAGGCCAGGGUAGCGAAAGGGAUUAGAUACCCCUGUAGUCCUGGCAGUAAACGGUGCGCGCUUGGUGUGGGAGGAUUCGACCCCUUCCGUGCCGGAGCUAACGCGUUAAGCGCCCCGCCUGGGGAGUACGG
RNAcentral lists this ribosomal RNA (665 nucleotides) under uncultured bacterium. RNAcentral describes it as "bacterial SSU rRNA". It matches the Rfam family "Bacterial small subunit ribosomal RNA", at positions 232 to 885 of the family's 1533-position model. The record is from RNAcentral.